AAAUAAGAAGCAAAUAUUGCAUUUAGUUUCGACCUAAAAAUAUGAUGAAAUAAUCAUCCUUAUUUU
RNAcentral lists this transfer RNA (66 nucleotides) under Orsodacne lineola. RNAcentral describes it as "tRNA-Arg". The record is from RNAcentral. Lineage: Eukaryota; Metazoa; Arthropoda; Insecta; Coleoptera; Orsodacnidae.